This 440-nucleotide ribosomal RNA is filed under the name uncultured bacterium. Its description in RNAcentral is "partial 16S ribosomal RNA". It matches the Rfam family "Bacterial small subunit ribosomal RNA", at positions 338 to 795 of the family's 1533-position model. The record is from RNAcentral.
CCUACGGGUGGCAGCAGUGGGGAAUAUUGCACAAUGGGGGAAACCCGGAUGCAGCGACGCCGCGGGAGUGAAGAAGGAAUUCGGGAUGUAAAGCUCUAUCAGCAGGGAAGAAAAUGACGGUACCUGAGUAAGAAGACCCGGCGAACUACGUGCCAGCAGCCGCGGUAAUACGUAGGGGGCAAGAGUUAUCCGGAGGUACUGGGUGUACAGGGAGCGGAGACGGCAGGGCCAGUCUGGAGUGAAAGGCGGGGGCUCACCCCCCGGACUGCUCUGGAAACUGUUCGGCGGGAGGGCAGGAGAGGUAAGUGGAAUUCCUUUUGUAGCGGUGAACUGCGUAGCUAUUCGGAGGCACCCCAGUGGCGCAGGCGGCUUCCUGGACUGUAACUGCCGUUGAGGCUCGAACGCGUGGGGAGCAACCAGGAUUAGAUACCCGAGUAGUC